RNAcentral lists this ribosomal RNA (253 nucleotides) under uncultured bacterium. RNAcentral's name for it is "partial 16S ribosomal RNA". It matches the Rfam family "Bacterial small subunit ribosomal RNA", at positions 524 to 776 of the family's 1533-position model. The record is from RNAcentral.
UACAGAGGUCCCGAGCGUUGUUCGGAUUCACUGGGCGUAAAGGGUGCGUAGGUGGUGAGGUAAGUCGGAUGUGAAAUCUCCGAGCUCAACUCGGAGAUGGCAUUGGAAACUACCUUGCUUGAGGGUUGGAGGGGGGACUGGAAUACUUGGUGUAGCAGUGAAAUGCGUAGAUAUCAAGUGGAACACCAGUGGCGAAGGCGAGUCCCUGGACAACUCCUGACACUGAGGCACGAAAGCUAGGGGAGCAAACAGG